Molecule: long non-coding RNA, 2783 nt
Organism: Mauremys mutica (yellowpond turtle)
Lineage: Eukaryota; Metazoa; Chordata; Testudines; Geoemydidae
Exons: 4
Source: RefSeq, a predicted model, not a curated record
ACUAAAGAUACUGCAGCAGUAGCUCACAGAUGCCCUAGACUCAUCAGCUCAGCAUGCUAAUCAUGGCUUAAAAUAAGGGGGAGCAAUGUGGAAAUGCAGUUGCCUCUCAUCUGCUAAAAUCAGAAGAGUUUCCCUUCUCUCUUCUUCUGAUGGGAGUGAGAUGCUUAAUUGGGGAAGAGAAAGAGGCUAAAAAGAUACUUAUAACCUAUUCCAUCUGCAUUCAAGGCCUGUUAAAUGAUCGGUGAGAGAUACAGGAAAGAGAUCAAGAAGCUCCACUAUGUAAGAGUAUGAGUUUUCAAAAAACUGCUAGUGAACACAGUUACUGAGGAGAAGGAUGUCCAAGCACAGAAUACUGUAUCUCAAGUACAGGUCCAGUGAUCAACCGUAAAACAGUUUUCAGUUACCCAAGAGUUCACAAUAUUCCUUCUUCUUCUUGGGCUGCCACCUUGACGUGGUGGAGAAGCUUGUGCAUACUUAAGACCUUAAGAGUGAUGCCGUCAGGAGUCCUUUACUCCUGGUAGGGUCACCAAUGGCAGUAAGGUCAAGGUACCAGACAAACUGCAGCCCAACACAACCCAGUAUAAGACCUCAACAGCAGAACAGGCGGAUGAAGCAGGCUCACCUCUCAAUGGCUGUGAAAGCAGAUAAAGUUCUGCAAUGGAGGAGAAACCCCCAGUCAUCUUGGACCUCCUUGCCACUGGACACAGGUGCCUCUUCCACCAAGAUUUGUGUUGCUGCUGGUGCACAACAUCUCCCCGACAUUAAAAGUCCUGCGGCAAUGGACGAGUGGCAACAGGGAUAGGCGAAAUGAUCACCAGACAGAGACCCACACACAGGCAGUGACCGCAAGAUGGUUUUCAUGUGCCCGUGGACUAGGAUCUGGUGGCAUUUUCAGCAGUAGCGGUCAUGACUGAGCAGGCCUUUUUAGGAAUCCCUCUGGUUCAACCCAUAUGGGAAAUGGGCUAGAAAAGGUGCCCCAAACAUAGGCUAUCCCAUCAUACCUGACUGCAUAACCGCAUCCAGAGGGAUCACUCCCAAUGCGGUUGUAAAACCAUAAUGUUUCUUGCAACUUGGAAUUUCCAUACCCUAAUAGAAGGAUCAAAAAGUGAAAGACCCAAAUGCAGAACAGCAGUUUUUGCCUGAGAACUCUUGAGGUAUAACACCGACAUUACUGCUCUCAGUGCAACAAGGCAUGCAGAUGAAGGCCACUUGAGGGAAGAGAGCAGCAGUUACACUUUUUUUCUGGAAAGGAAAACCAGCAAGUGACAGGCGAAUCCACAGCGUUGGCUUUGCAAUCAAAAAACUUUUAGUCAACUGCCUGCCUGAGCUCCCUGUAACCAUCAACGAGCACCUUAUGACCCUCGCAAUCUAACUGGUCAAUAAGUCAUUUGCCACUAUCAUCUGUGCAUAUGCACCAGAACUUGACACUGAAGAACAGAAAAAAAUCCUUCUACACUGACCUUAAUGAAAUUUUGUCAUCCAUUCCAAAAACAGAUAAGAUAAUCCUCUCAGAGGACUUUAACACAAGAGUUGGACAAGACUCUAACAUAUGGAGUAGCACUGUUGGGAAGGAAGGAGUGGGCAAGACCAGUUCAAAUGGCAUCCUUCUACUCAGCAAAUGUGCAGAGCAUGACCUUGUUAUCACAAAUACACUCGUCAGAAAAAGCAACAAGCACAAAACAACUUGGCAAUACCUCCGCUCAAAACUGUGGCACCUCCUAGACUAUGUCAUUGUAAGAACACAAGAUCUAAGAGAUGUCUAAAUCACCAUGAGAGGUCAUGAGAGGAGCUAAUGAUUGCUGGACUGACCACUGCCUGGUGAGGUCAGUCAUUUCCAUCAGGAUUGCAUCGAAAUAUAGAAAGUAAUCCACAUCACACAGACGGCAAUACAACAUCCAAAGACUUCAAUCCUAAGUGCAUCAAGAGAACUUCCAAACACUCCUCAGUGAAAAACUGACCAUGUGCACACCUGGAAAUGAAAACACAAGUGUUGAAGAAGAUUGGGAAGCCCUAAAACAGACCAUCCAUGAGGCUUGUGGGGACUCCAUCGGCCUUGCUACCUGCUGCCAUCAGGAAUGGUUUGACAAUAACAACAUUGAGAUUACAUCCCUUUUGGACCAGAAGAGAAAAGCUUUCUGUGACUGGCAAAACCACCACUAUCCAGUCAGAAGCAGAGCUCUUUCCAUCAACUCAAAGAUGAAGUUCAAAGGAGGAUCCGAGAAAUCAAAAACAAAUGGUGGGAGGACAAAGCAAAAAGAAAUCCGAACAUUUGCUGACAGAUAUGAUAUGUGGAGCUUUUCUUGUGAGAGACAAAGACCCUGUAUGGACCAAGCUCAUGUGGCCUCACACAAUGAGAUCCGAAGGUGGUAGUACCCUUCUUAAAGAUAAUGAAUCCAUCAAAGAGCAAUGGAAGGAACACUACCAAAAGCUUCUAAAUAGAGAAUUGACUGUCACUGACAACACAGUCGACUCCAUCCCUCAACACCCAAUCUGGGAAACUCUUGCCAAUCCACCCAAACUUGAGGAGAUCUUGAAAGCAAUUAAACAAAUGAAGAACAAUAAAGCACCAGGUCCUGAUGGCAUACCAGCUGAAAUACUGAAAGUGGGGGGAGAAACCCUGACUGGCGAAGACUUGUCAGAGAGGGAACAUCCACUUUUGAGGAAAAUCAAAGGAAAGACAAAUGUCACGCAGCAAUCGUGGCCCAACUCUGUCUUCCAGCACCACCUGCAACAUCUGCCAAUGAGCCUGUGGCUCAAGGAUCAGACUCCUCAGUCACCAAAGG